RNAcentral lists this non-coding RNA (30 nucleotides) under Homo sapiens (human). The record is from RNAcentral. Lineage: Eukaryota; Metazoa; Chordata; Mammalia; Primates; Hominidae.
UGGUUGCCACGAAAGAGCUGCUGAGGCCAC